UUCGUAGAUUGAGGUAGAAGAAAUACUUAAAAAUGAAACUUUGAAAAGUGAAACAAAAUCAAGCGUGAUAGAGGAGAAACAACGGCGGCCAAGUUAAAGAUAGCUUGAUGAAAUUAAACCUAGUUCAUGUACCUAGCGUACGCUCGAGAGUUUUGGAUGAGGACUUGUUGAGCAAUGAAAACACGAAUGAUUUCAAGCAUGUUGACGGCGAUAAAAGCUCUAGCGAGGACGAGGACGAAGAAUCUGAUUUAGAAAUUGAAGAGGAAGCUAUCACCAAAAGAGAUUUGCCAGAAAAUUCAAAGUUUACUCCCCAAGGUUUUUAUAUGCAGAUGAAUGAUUGUGAGAAGAGUACUCUAAGGAAUGUUAUUGACGAGGGAUAGUACAAGGACCAACGUAGAAUGUAGCGGCUUCUCUGUGAGAUUGUAGGAGGAUUAGUUCACCUUCAUUCACAGGUAGAAAAUUUCCAUUACUGCUGGAGCCAAUGUGGUUCUGCUACUGAUAGAAAUAAAGUUGAAGAUCACAUUCACCGUCUUAAAACAUUUAGCCGUCCGCCUGUUGUGCAUACUUGUGGUCCUUUACUUGAAGUUUUAAGCACCUAUCAUCGCUACAAUGAAUUAGUUGAAGAGUUUUCAUCCAUUCUUUACGAGAAAAGUUCAUGGACGUUUGAUAUUGUCUAGUGGGGACGUUAAAGUCAUAUCUUUGUAUCUAAAUAUUAUAUGACAUUGCAAUAUUGUAUUUGUUGUUUGUGGUGAAAUCCAUAAUAUACUGUGGAAACCAUUUAUUUACCAGCUGAUUGAUUCAUUAAUUGUAUUAUGUAGAAAGUAUAAAUAUCUGCUUUAGUUUAGCAUUCAGUCUGGAUAUUUUUUUGGCAACAACCAUGUAGGAUUUUCAUCACUUCCUUAACAGUAUUGAACGUAUAAGAGUGCUUGUAGUUUUGUUUUGAUAAUUCCUACUAAAGUAAUACUAUAUUGCUUCUUCCAUCGUGAGAAUGUAAGUUCGGAAUAUUAAACUGCCAGCAAUUGUGAUGUAAA
This is a long non-coding RNA of Xenia sp. Carnegie-2017, 1031 nucleotides long. RefSeq lists it as uncharacterized. NCBI's taxonomy places the organism in Eukaryota, Metazoa, Cnidaria, Anthozoa, Malacalcyonacea, Xeniidae. The record is from RefSeq and is a predicted model, not a curated record. The transcript is spliced from 2 exons.